CACUCCUGCGGGAGGCAGCAGUGGGGAAUUUUGGACAAUGGGCGAAAGCCUGAUCCAGCAAUGCCGCGUGAGUGAAGAAGGCCUUCGGGUUGUAAAGCUCUUUUGUCAGGGAAGAAACGGUGAGAGCUAAUAUCUCUUGCUAAUGACGGUACCUGAAGAAUAAGCACCGGCUAACUACGUGCCAGCAGCCGCGGUAAUACGUAGGGUGCAAGCGUUAAUCGGAAUUACUGGGCGUAAAGCGUGCGCAGGCGGUUUUGUAAGUCUGAUGUGAAAUCCCCGGGCUCAACCUGGGAAUUGCAUUGGAGACUGCAAGGCUAGAAUCUGGCAGAGGGGGGUAGAAUUCCACGUGUAGCAGUGAAAUGCGUAGAUAUGUGGAGGAACACCGAUGGCGAAGGCAGCCCCCUGGGUCAAGAUUGACGCUCAUGCACGAAAGCGUGGGGAGCAAACAGGAUUAGAAACCCCAGUAGUCCCA
This 472-nucleotide ribosomal RNA is filed under the name uncultured organism. Its description in RNAcentral is "partial 16S ribosomal RNA". It matches the Rfam family "Bacterial small subunit ribosomal RNA", at positions 334 to 797 of the family's 1533-position model. The record is from RNAcentral.